GUGAACGCUGGCGGCAGGCCUAAUACAUGCAAGUCGAACGGCAGCACAGUGGAGCUUGCUCCAUGGGUGGCGAGUGGCGGACGGGUGAGGAAUACAUGGGAAUCUGCCCAGUCGUGGGGGAUAACGUAGGGAAACUUACGCUAAUACCGCAUGCGCCCUUCGGGGGAAAGCCGGGGACCUUCGGGCCUGGCGCGAUUGGAUGAGCCCAUGUUCGAUUAGCUAGUUGGCGGGGUAAAGGCCCACCAAGGCGACGAUCGAUAGCUGGUCUGAGAGGAUGAUCAGCCACACUGGGACUGAGACACGGCCCAGACUCCUACGGGAGGUAGCAGUAGGGAAUAUUGGACAAUGAGCGCAAGCCUGAUCCAGCCAUGCCGCGUGAGUGAAGAAGGCCCUCGGGUUGUAAAGCUCUUUUGUCCGGGAAGAAAAGCAUCGGGCUAAUACCUCGGUGUUCUGACGGUACCGGAAGAAUAAGCACCGGCUAACUUCGUG
RNAcentral lists this ribosomal RNA (489 nucleotides) under uncultured bacterium. RNAcentral describes it as "partial 16S ribosomal RNA". It matches the Rfam family "Bacterial small subunit ribosomal RNA", at positions 29 to 507 of the family's 1533-position model. The record is from RNAcentral.